Molecule: ribosomal RNA, 245 nt
Filed under: uncultured bacterium
Lineage: Bacteria
Description: partial 16S ribosomal RNA
Rfam family: Bacterial small subunit ribosomal RNA
Source: RNAcentral
GACGAACCGUGCGAACGUUGUUCGGAUUCACUGGGCUUAAAGGGCGCGUAGGCGGGCGGUCAAGUCGGGGGUGAAAUCUUUCCGCUUAACGGGAAGCGUGCCUCCGAUACUGAUCGCCUCGAGGGAGGUAGGGGCAUGUGGAACUUCCGGUGGAGCGGUGAAAUGCGUAGAUAUCGGAAGGAACGCCGGUGGCGAAAGCGACGUGCUGGACCUCUUCUGACGCUGAGGCGCGAAAGCUAGGGGAG